Molecule: long non-coding RNA, 536 nt
Organism: Humulus lupulus (European hop)
Lineage: Eukaryota; Viridiplantae; Streptophyta; Magnoliopsida; Rosales; Cannabaceae
Exons: 4
Source: RefSeq, a predicted model, not a curated record
GACAUUUCAUAUGCGCGGGACAUUUUCGCGGUUUUGAAUAGGUUUAGUUGCUAUACGGAGAACCUAUACCGAGAACAUGUUCUCGGUAGAGGGUUUAUAAAUAUACCCCACAGCCGCGAAGCCCCUUCUCCUUCCUCUCUGGUUUCUCUCGGUUUUCUCCGAGCCGUUCGCCUCCCUCCGCCAUUUUCCUCCGUUUUCCUCCCAAAAAGCUCGGUUUUAAGCCUCAAAAUUGCCAAGGGUGAAGGGAUUUCUGUGUAUUUGUUGAAGGUUGGGUAUUCGGUUUUUGUUGGACUAAAGAGAUUGCUAGCAAGAUAUUGAAGGCAUUGGACACACACGUGGAUUAAUUUGACCGUCAGAUAUCCCAGCUGAUUGUGAACGAGCGCCUCCAAAUAAACGUGGACGCCAUAAAGGAUUGAACACGCGGGAAAAGAGGGAACAGUUGGGGCGUCCUCUCCCUCUCGAGUGGGAUGUGCGGGGGAGAACAUAUAAAGAGAUCGAAGAGUACAGCUCAAAUUUCUCAAGAGAGCUCGGAUUAC